CAAUAGCGUAUAUAAAAGUUGUUGCAGUUAAAAAGCUCGUAGUUGGAUUUCUGGUCGGAGCGACCGGUCGGCGUCCUUUGUGGCGUGUGCACUGUUGUCGGCUCCGUCCAUCCUAGUGGGAAGGCGUGUUGGCAUUCAUUUGUCGGCGCGUGGCCCCGCUACGUUUACUGUGAAAAAAUUAGAGUGUUUAAAGCAGGCGUUCGCUGUGAAUACAUUAGCAUGGAAUAAUGAGAUAGGACUUUGGUACUAUUUUGUUGGUUUGCGCACCAAGGUAAUGAUUAAUAGGGAUAGUUGGGGGUAUUCAUAUUCAAUUGUCAGAGGUGAAAUUCUUGGAUUUAUGGAAGAUGAACUUAUGCGAAAGCAUUUACCAAGGAUGUUUUCAUUAA
Molecule: ribosomal RNA, 386 nt
Filed under: uncultured eukaryote
Lineage: Eukaryota
Description: partial 18S ribosomal RNA
Rfam family: Eukaryotic small subunit ribosomal RNA
Source: RNAcentral